RNAcentral lists this ribosomal RNA (449 nucleotides) under uncultured bacterium. Its description in RNAcentral is "SSU rRNA". It matches the Rfam family "Bacterial small subunit ribosomal RNA", at positions 26 to 520 of the family's 1533-position model. The record is from RNAcentral.
AGAGCGAACGCUGGCGGCAGGCUUAACACAUGCAAGUCGAGCGGGCGUAGCAAUACGUCAGCGGCAGACGGGUGAGUAACGCGUGGGAACAUACCUUUUGGUUCGGAACAACCCAGGGAAACUUGGGCUAAUACCGGAUAAGCCCUUACGGGGAAAGAUUUAUCGCCGAAAGAUUGGCCCGCGUCUGAUUAGCUAGUUGGUGAGGUAACGGCUCACCAAGGCGACGAUCAGUAGCUGGUCUGAGAGGAUGAUCAGCCACAUUGGGACUGAGACACGGCCCAAACUCCUACGGGAGGCAGCAGUGGGGAAUAUUGGACAAUGGGCGCAAGCCUGAUCCAGCCAUGCCGCGUGAGUGAUGAAGGCCCUAGGGUUGUAAAGCUCUUUUGUGCGGGAAGAUAAUGACGGUACCGCAAGAAUAAGCCCGGCUAACUUCGCGCCAGCAGCCGCGA